GGUUGUAGCUCAGUGGUAGAAUACAUGUUUAGCAUGCAUGAGGCCCUGGAUUCGACCCUCAACACCG
RNAcentral lists this transfer RNA (67 nucleotides) under Marmota monax (woodchuck). RNAcentral's name for it is "tRNA.Ala". Lineage: Eukaryota; Metazoa; Chordata; Mammalia; Rodentia; Sciuridae. The record is from RNAcentral.